RNAcentral lists this ribosomal RNA (428 nucleotides) under Chloroflexota bacterium. Its description in RNAcentral is "Chloroflexi bacterium partial 16S ribosomal RNA". It matches the Rfam family "Bacterial small subunit ribosomal RNA", at positions 355 to 776 of the family's 1533-position model. Lineage: Bacteria; Bacillati; Chloroflexota. The record is from RNAcentral.
UAGGGAAUCUUCGGCAAUGGACGAAAGUCUGACCGAGCAACGCCGCGUGAGUGAAGAAGGUUUUCGGAUCGUAAAACUCUGUUGUUAGAGAAGAACAAGGACGUUAGUAACUGAACGUCCCCUGACGGUAUCUAACCAGAAAGCCACGGCUAACUACGUGCCAGCAGCCGCGGUAAUACGUAGGUGGCAGCGUUGUCCGGAUUUAUUGGGCGUAAAGCGAGCGCAGGCGGUUUCUUAAGUCUGAUGUGAAAGCCCCCGGCUCAACCGGGGAGGGUCAUUGGAAACUGGGAGACUUGAGUGCAGAAGAGGAGAGUGGAAUUCCAUGUGUAGCGGUGAAAUGCGUAGAUAUAUGGAGGAACACCAGUGGCGAAGGCGGCUCUCUGGUCUGUAACUGACGCUGAGGCUCGAAAGCGUGGGGAGCAAACAGG